UACGUAGGGGGCAAGCGUUGUCCGGAAUUAUUGGGCGUAAAGAGCUCGUAGGCGGUUUGUCGCGUCGGGAGUGAAAACUCGGAGCUCAACUCCGAGCCUGCUUCCGAUACGGGCAGACUAGAGGUAGGCAGGGGAGAGCGGAACUCCUGGUGUAGCGGUGGAAUGCGCAGAUAUCAGGAAGAACACCGGUGGCGAAGGCGGCUCUCUGGGCCUUACCUGACGCUGAGGAGCGAAAGCGUGGGUAGCGAACAGG
This 253-nucleotide ribosomal RNA is filed under the name uncultured bacterium. RNAcentral's name for it is "partial 16S ribosomal RNA". It matches the Rfam family "Bacterial small subunit ribosomal RNA", at positions 524 to 776 of the family's 1533-position model. The record is from RNAcentral.